CAGUAGCCGCGGUAAUACAGAGGGUGCGAGCGUUAAUCGGAUUUACUGGGCGUAAAGCGUGCGUAGGCGGCUUCUUAAGUCGGAUGUGAAAUCCCUGAGCUUAACUUAGGAAUUGCAUUCGAUACUGGGAAGCUAGAGUAUGGGAGAGGAUGGUAGAAUUCCAGGUGUAGCGGUGAAAUGCGUAGAGAUCUGGAGGAAUACCGAUGGCGAAGGCAGCCAUCUGGCCUAACACUGACGCUGAGGUACGAAAGCAUGGGGAGCAAACAGGAUUAGAUACCCCAGUAGUCCCUGUCUCUUAUAC
Molecule: ribosomal RNA, 301 nt
Filed under: uncultured bacterium
Lineage: Bacteria
Description: partial 16S ribosomal RNA
Rfam family: Bacterial small subunit ribosomal RNA
Source: RNAcentral